Molecule: non-coding RNA, 7617 nt
Organism: Monodelphis domestica (gray short-tailed opossum)
Lineage: Eukaryota; Metazoa; Chordata; Mammalia; Didelphimorphia; Didelphidae
Source: RefSeq, a predicted model, not a curated record
GCCAGGCAUCCCCCGAGGGGAGCGGGCACUCUCCGGCCCUUCAUUUCCUGACGGGAUUCUACAGGGGGGAGCCUCGGUUCUCUUGAGGAUCAGAGUCAAGAGCUGGGGCAUGAAGACCAGGCUCAGCCUUAGAGCAUCACUGGAGUCAGGGCCGGAAAUGGGAAUGGGAGGAAAGGCGGAAGAGUCAGAGACUGAGCAGGAAGUGGGGUCCCGGGCGAAGGGAUAUGACAGCUCUGGGAUGAGCCUGAACCAUUAUCCCCAUGUGGAAAGCCCCAGAGCCAUAGGGAUAUUCUGUCUCUGCUGACAAGCGGGGGUCGGGGCUGCAGAAUUGGUGGGAGAGGACUAGGCACUCAUGAGGGUGCUCAAGCUGAAAGAUCUCUUGAAUCAAGAGCCCUCAGUUCAAGACCUGCCUCUGACCUGAAAUUAGUUACUUAACCUUGCUGUCUCAUCUGAAAAACAAGCAGGCCCUUAAUAAAUGUUUGUGAGAGAAUUUGAACUCAGGCCUUUCUGACUCCAAGACCAGUGCCCAAUUCACUGAGGCUACUCUCUCUACCAUGGCCACAGUCACACAGAAAAACAUCUCUUACCAUGAAGGAAAGAAGAAAAAAGGUUAGUAAAAUCAAUCAAUCCAAAUUCAGCACUUUCUAUUACACCCACUUUCUCCAUCUCAUCAGAUAUUUACUAAACUCCUCUAGGGGUUCAAUUGCCCAGCCCUGGUCUAUGUAUAGUGGAGAAUACAAACAAGUAUGACAUUUCCUACCCUCAGGGAGUUUACCAUCUAGUUGAGACACAUCACACACACACACACAUCCAAACACAAAUCCUCAGACACACACACACACACACACACACACACACACACACACCAAGGGGACACAAUUAAGAAAAACAAGGCAAAAGCCAUCACAAGGGAGCAUGUGGUAAAUAACAAAUAAAUGGUCCAGAGAAUAAAUUAAGAACAGAGGGAAAUCACUGUGGGCUAGGUUGGUUAUGGAAUGCUUCAGUUCCACAAAUAUUUAUAAGAGAAACUGCUUAAAUUGUACAGGGCAACAAGUUAAAUAACUUAAAUUAAUCAAAUGGGAGGAAGAGUAGACAGAAGACAAAAUAAAACAGGAUAAGAACAUCAUGAGAGGAGACAAGCAACAAGCUGGGUGGGGGGAGUGGCAGAUGAGUUGGAUCAUUUACAACAGGGGAGGUCAGGGGAAGGCUGACAUUUGAGAUGUACCUUGAAGGAUGGAGAGUUGUGAUUGGCAGAGGUGCAGGAGAGCAGGUAAAGGAGGGAGAGACACCAAGUCUUAGGAAGUGUGAGCAAAAUUGGGAAGGAAUGCUUACAUGUUUGCUAGACAACUUGUGAUAGUCAAUCAGUUCAUUAAACAUUUAUUAAGCACCUCCUGUGUGCCAGACAUUGGGCUAUGUGCUGGGGACAUAAAGAGAAAUAGAAGAGUCCUGCUCUAAAGGAGCUCACAAUAUGAUGGGGGAUGUACGCAUCAUAUACACAACUGUGUACAAACAAACUGGAUAAAGGAUAACUUGGAAAUAAUAAAUAGAGGGUAGGCACUAGAAUUAAGAGGGACUGAGAAAGGCUUCCCGAGGAGAUAGGAUCUUAGCUGGGACUUGAAGGAAGACAGGAAACAGGGAUGAGGACAGAGAGUUUUUCAGGUAAGAGGGAACAGUAAAAAUAUCCAAAAUGGGAGUGUCAGGUCUUGUUCAAGGAAUGGCAAGGAGACAGUAGAUCUGAGAGUGUAAGGUGUUAAGAAGACUGGAAAGGUGGACAGACUGGAAGGGGACAGGUGUUGAGGGCCUUUGGAAGCCCUCAAAAAUACAGGGGACUUAAUAUUUGAUCCUGGGGGUAAUAGGGAGCCACUGAAAUUUAUUAUUUAAAAAACAUUUUUUAAACCCUUACCUUCUACCUUAGAAUCAGUACUAUGUACUGGUCCCAAGGCAGAAGAGUGGUAAGGAUUAGGCAAUGAGGGUUAAGAGAGGGUGACACAGCUGGACACUUGUCUGAGGUCAGAUUUGAACCUAGGACUUCCAUCUCUAGGCUUGGCUCUCAAUCUACUGAGCUACCUAGCUGCCCCCUAGAAUUUAACUGAAUAGAAAAUGACAUAGUAAUAUCCUGAGCUUUAGGAAUAGAAAUUUAAGCAGCUUUGUGGAGGAUGGACUGGAAAGGAGAGAGAUUUGUAGUAGGAAGACCAGGCAGGAGGCUAUUGCAGUUGUAACAGUGACUACCUUGACCUCCACUGCCUGAAGGCUAGCUGUGUUACAUUUUACCUCUUUCCCUGGUCACUCAGUAUACAAAAGGAUUUUGGGAGGUGUCUAUUCGGUCGCUGAUUCAAGCCCCCACUGAUAGUAUUAAAAUAAUUUUGUGGGGGUCUUCUGUUCCCCAGUUCCAUUUAACCUCUUAGAAUCAGAUUAGCUUUUACAAAAGAAUAUUUACUUCAAAGCUGUAAAAAGAACAAAAAAUAUAAACAUCUUCCCAAAGCAUGAUAGGCAUAAUCUCCUCUUUUAUCCCUCAGUCUCUGGGGAGAAUAGGGGGAUUACAUUCACAAUUUAACUCAGUUCUUACAUAGAUAGUAUAAUCUCACCAAGUUCUUAGUCCAAAGACUCAAGUUCUGGGCACCCUGACUUUUCAUGAUUUCCCUGAUGGCUGCCAUCAACAUCUGGCCUAGAUUCUUACCCCUAAGGUUACUCAAGCUCAAGCUCCUGUGUCGAGGGAUUCCACUGCCUGCACCUAGAACUGAAAAGACAACCCAAAGCCUCUUUCUCAAGGCCACAGGGGCUUACGGUAUGACUCUUCUCCCACAUUGUAUCAGCAUAUGGUGCCCACACUUUGGACAAACAGAACUUUCAUCCCCUGGAAACUACCAAAAAAGAGUAAGUUUGUCCCAGACUAAUAGUUCCAAAGAAGCAGCUUCUGGCUACACAGCCAAUGGAAGCAGUAUGUUCCUACCCCUGUGGUAGAGGGACACAGAAUAUCUUCUCCCAGAAACAGUUUCCUAGAAUCUCCCACAUGUGCCUCCAUGUCAAGUGAUCUGGGCAUGGUGGAGUAAAGUGCUUUGAGAUGAUAGACUGAGCAAAAGGUAAUGAGGCAGGUCCACAUACAGGAGGUCCUGGGUUCAAAUUUUAUUUCAGAUACUUCCCAGCUGUAUGACCCUGGGCACGUCACUUAACCUCCACUGCCUGGCCCUUCCUGCUCUUCUGUCUUAGAAUCAAUCGAAAGUAUUGAUUCUAAGAUGGAAGGUAACGGUUUAAAAAAAGGUAAUGAGGGUCUGCACUAAAGUAGCAAUAGUGUCAGAGGAGAGAAGGGGGUACAUAUGAAAGAUGUCAUGCAGGUAUAUUCAAUAGGAUGUGCCAAUAGAUUGGAUAUAGGAAGUGACAGGGCAUGAGGAGUCAUGGAUAAAACAUAUGUUGGGGAGCCUGGGUGAUUGGGAAGAUGGUGGUAUCAUUGAAAAUAAUAGAGAAAUUGGGAAGAGAGGACAGUUUGGGAUAAAGAGAGUGAGUUCAGUUUUAGACAUAUUGAAUUUAAGAUGUCAGCAGAGAUCCAGUAUAAGAUGUCCAAUAGGCAACUGGAGAUGCAAGACUGGAAGUAAGGAAAGAGUUUAGGGAUGGAUAAGUAGAUCUGAAAAUCAUCCAAAUAUGGAGGAUAAUUGAAUCCAGGAAGAUGGAUGAUAGCGAUCUUGUAUAUAUGAUUGAAUAUAUAGGGAGAAAAAGUCUUGAUAUAGAGCUUUGGGGAACACCAAAGUUGAAAGAAUGAAAAUAGAGGAAAUUUGAGGAAGUCUGAAAUGUUUGGAAGAACUGUGUGAGAUAAUGAAUCAAUUGGAAUGGUUUUAUAGAAGUGACGGUCCAGUUAAAAUUUUGCAACAUAAAUUUGUAGUGGACCCUCUCAGCAUGGUUUUGUGACUUGCUUUGGUUUCACUCAACAGCAUGAAGGUGGUAGGAGAAAUCCAGAUUUGAGACUCGAGAGGGAAUAUUUGGUAAGGUAAGAUGACAAGGAAUUCAAGAGAAAAAGCCUAGAAUUGAAAUGGUUAACAAGGGGUCAAGAUGGGAAGGGAAGAGAAUUGAGCCAUUUCAGGAGUAAUGGCCUGGGAAAGAACUGAAGGGUCAAGGGAUUGCAUGUCCCAAUGAUGACAAAGAAUACAUUUUAGAUUAGCAAGGUAGAGGUGGAAUUAGGAUAAGAUAAAGGAAUAUUAGAAUUCCUGAACUCUGGAAGAACACUUGAAAGUGAUAGCAAGAUCAGAGAUAUGAUCAUCUCUGUGGCUGAGGUGGCUGAGAAGUAGUGUUGUUAGGUCCUUUCAGUUUGUGCCCAACUCUUGGAGAACUCAUUUUGGGAUUUUCUUGGCAAAGAGACUGGAGUGAUUUGCCAUUUCCUUUUCCAGCUUAUUUUACAGAUGAGGAAACUGAGGCAAACAGGGUUAAACGACUUCCUCAGUAUCACAUAGCUAGGAAGUAUCUGAGUUCAGAGUAGAACUCACAAAGGUUCAUUUUCCUGAUUCCAAGCCCAAGGCUCUAUUCACUUUGCCACUUAGCUGCCCCAGGAUGGAGGUGUAGGUCCUGGGAAAUUAGAAAGCGAGGAACUGGAUGGUUAGGGUGUUUGUGGGAUAGGCAAUAUGUAUGUUCAAGUUCCCUAGUAUGAGAGCAGGAAUUGGAGAAGAGAUAAAGACUCUGAGUCAUGCACUGACCUCAAUCAUGAAGGAGAAUCUGUUAGAGGUUGAUAGAUAACAGCUACCAGAAUAUUAGUUGGGUGAUAAAUAUGGAUUGAAUGAACCUCAAAGGAGAGAGUACUUGGUGAUGGUAGGAGUUAGAAAGCCUGGAAAUGGGGAACAAAGAACAUUCUAAUUCCCCUACCAUGAACAAGGAGUCAGAAGGUAGGACUAAAAGUGAAGUCAGUUGUGGAAAGGGUGGACAGGGAAGCAUCAUCAUAAGGGACCCAUGUCUUAGACCAAGAUGAUAGAAGUUUGGGGAAUACUUCCUUUACUUUUUUGGGGGUUUAGGGGUGGGUAGAGUAGAUAACAAGCGAUUAUACAGGAAUACAAGGGGAGCACACAAACUAUAAUCAUAGAAAAUACUCUUCCUGAACUUUUAUAGAAUUUACAAUCUAGGAGGGACUUUUAAGAUUUAACUCCCUUGUUUUAAAAAUGACAAAGCUAAGUUUCAGAGGAAAAAUUAUUUGCCCAAAGUUAUACAGGUAAUAAAUUACAGAGUCAAAGUUCAAACUCUGGUCUUCUUCAAAAAAUUUAGAAAUAGCAUCUUGAGUUGGGUUCUAGAACUAAGAAAGAAUCAUGAGAGCCAAGAUAGAUCUAAGGAACCUUAUUUAAAGACUGUUGGAAGCAGCUAAGAAGCACAGUGGACAGAGUGCCAGGCCUGGAGUUGGGAGGACCUGGAUUCAAAUCUAGAUUCAGAUAUUUACUAGCUGCAGGACCCUAGGUAAGUCACAAAACCCUUGCUAUUCUUCUGCCUAAGAAUCACUUAGUAUCACUUCUAGGGAUUUAAAAGAUUAAAAAGAUUGUUAGGAAGCUUAGAUAUCCCCCAAUCUGGGACUGUUUAUAUACACUAAUUGCCUUACCACUGGUGUAAUUCUGUUUUCCCAUAUGAAGAAGAUCCAAAGAAGGGAAAGAGAGAAUAUAAGCUAGAAUCAGGCAGACAGUUAUCUUGGCUAUGACAAAAAAAAAAAGUGGGGAAGGGGAAGGUAACAGGGGAUCAGCUAUGGCAGCUCUCUGAUUCAAAGGAGCCAAGCAGUCUCAGGAACCAAGAAAGUGGAGAAAACCAAGACCAUCAGAUUGGGCCAGAAGUAUUUUCCAAAGGUCUUAGAGUCCAGAUGUAUUUGAACCCUAUACAUUUGGCAGUAGGGACUCAUGGUAGGUAGACUCAGACAUAACACAAUUAAAAUCCUCCAUCAACCUUCAGUCUCAAAGCAAAGUCCUCCUCUUGCCCUGAUAUUCAUCUUCUUUCCCUACUCACUAUGGAGAUACACUGGCCUGUACUCCAGAGCUUAGUAUGCCCUUGGAUAAAUCAAUUAACUUCCCCCUAAUUUUCAUUUUCCCCACCUUCCAAAACAAUUGAGGCUCACAAGGAUAAGUGCUGAAAGUCAGCUCAACCUUCUUACCCAAGGUCAGAAAUGGUGGCCAUCUUUGUAUCUAGAUCAUAAACGUGGAGAUUGUAGAUGUCUUAGAGAUCAAUCUCCUCGUUUUAUGGAUGGGGAAACUGAGGCCCAGAGAGGUUAAAUCUUUUACUUAGCCUCACACAAAUAAAAAGCAGAGUCCAGACUCAAAUAUAGGUCCUCUGACUCCAAAUCCAGUAAUCUUUCUCACAAAACUUUCCUGUUCCCUGCCCCUAUCUUGCCCCAGAAGCACAAAACUGGACCCAGCCCUCCAGGGCCAGGUAGCAGCUGGGUCCUGUCCCUCUCUUUCAUGGCCUCAUGCCAGCCAUGCCCUGACACUCCCCUUUACGAGUUCUGCUGUUUGUCUGACAUCUCCCAGAUGUCAUCAUAAAGUCAUUUCCCAAUGCAGGUUGCACAUGGAGCAGAUAACUAGCAGCCCCUGGCAAUCCUUCCUGGGCAAAGUCAGGAAAGACCAGGAGUGUUUCUUCCCAACCCACCACUCCCCUUUCCAGAGAACUCUGACCCUUCCUGGACUCCUGGGCCCAUUGACAGCCAGCCAGGGCCAAAAAGGGAUAUCAGCUAUAAGCAGGUAUCAGCUUCAAGGCAGGUAACACUUUCUUUUCCUUCCUCUGAGGUCCUUAAAAGCAGGCAAGAUUGGAGAAAGAGAUUUCCUCAGGUAACCUCACUGGAGCCCUUGUCAAUUAACUUAUUAUGGGGCUGAACCCUUUGUACUAGUCAUUCAGUUUAAGAAAGAUUAUAAGGAGCUCCCAUUGGUCAUAGGGCUAGAUAGCUGGUGAGGCGAUUGUACUUUCUAUCCCUGGACCUUUUCCUUUACCUAACAGCCUCUCCCUUUCACAUACUGAAUUCCUCUCAUCCAACUCCUCCAAGGAGUCUUUCCUGAUGCCCUGUCAAUAAUUACCUUCUCCCUUGGACUCCACAUUGCACUUAAAAAACAAAAACAAAAAACCUACCUUCUGUACCAGUAACAACUCUAAGACAGGAAAAGGGCUAGGCAAAUGGAGCUAAGCAUCUGUGCCCAAAUCUUGCUUUUGACACCUAAUGAGUAUAACCUUGGGCAAUUCACUUAAGCUGUCAAUGCCUUCGACAGUUUUCUAAGACUAUAAACUGCUGAGGAGUCACUGGCUUGCAAGGGUAAAUAGUCUCCUCAUCUGGAAGUUCUCUAUACUAAUGAAUAAUAACAACAACAAUAAUAGUAAGCCCUUAUAUAGCAUUUUAAAUGUUUAUGUCAUUAUUAAUAGAUAAUAGAGAAUUUACUACAUGCCAGGAAUGUGCCAAAUGCUUUACAAUUAUUAAUUCACUUGACCCUCACAAUGACUGAGAGGUAGAGGCCCAUUUUUCAAAUAAAGAAACUGAGGAGAAGGAAGAGAAAAGGAAGGAGGAAAAGAAGGAAGAGGAGGAGGAAGAGGAGAAAGAAAGGUAGAAAGGUAGGAAGGAAGAAAGGAAGGAAGGAAGGAAGGAAGGAAGGAAGGAAGGAAGGAAGGAAGGAAACAAGGAAAGAA